This is a long non-coding RNA of Telopea speciosissima, 271 nucleotides long. RefSeq lists it as uncharacterized. The record is from RefSeq and is a predicted model, not a curated record. NCBI's taxonomy places the organism in Eukaryota, Viridiplantae, Streptophyta, Magnoliopsida, Proteales, Proteaceae. The transcript is spliced from 2 exons.
UUAACUGCAGUGCCAUAAACAAGAUCAUGAUAAGGCAAAAAAGUAAGAAAUGAUUCAACUCAAAGCACCAGAAUAUGUAGAAGAUUCAAUAAAAGAAUAAGUAAAUGGGAACAUGGAUAUGAAAAGAUGUCUUGUACAUUUCCUACAGCCUGUUUACAGAACUUUCUUCAAGAUGCCCAAGAAAUCUACCAUGUGUUCAAAUCUCAAAAUUGGUGGCUGUCAAUCUCAACUCUUGAUCAUGAUUAGGACAGCUGAAGAAAAGAUCCUUAAA